AACGAACGCUGGCGGCAUGCCUAACACAUGCAAGUCGAACGAGACCUUCGGGUCUAGUGGCGCACGGGUGCGUAACGCGUGGGAACCUGCCCUUAGGUUCGGAAUAACUCCCCGAAAGGGGUGCUAAUACCGGAUAAUGUCUUCGGACCAAAUAUUUAUCGCCUUUGGAUGGGCCCGCGUUGGUUUAGCUAGUUGGUAGGGUAAAAGCCUACAAAGGCGACGAUCCAUAGCUGGUCUGAGAGGAUGAUCAGGCACACUGGGACUGGGACACGGACCAGACUCCUACGGGAGGCAGCAGGGGGGAAUAUUGGACAAUGGGCGAAAGCCUGAUCCAGCAAUGCCGCGUGAGUGAUGAAGGCGUUAGGGUUGGAAAGCUCUUUUACCCGGGAAGAUAAUGACAGUACCGGGAGAAUAAGCUCCGGCUAACUCCGUG
RNAcentral lists this ribosomal RNA (433 nucleotides) under uncultured bacterium. RNAcentral describes it as "partial 16S ribosomal RNA". It matches the Rfam family "Bacterial small subunit ribosomal RNA", at positions 29 to 507 of the family's 1533-position model. The record is from RNAcentral.